This is a long non-coding RNA of Juglans microcarpa x Juglans regia, 259 nucleotides long. RefSeq lists it as uncharacterized. The record is from RefSeq and is a predicted model, not a curated record. NCBI's taxonomy places the organism in Eukaryota, Viridiplantae, Streptophyta, Magnoliopsida, Fagales, Juglandaceae. The transcript has 3 exons.
AAAUAAUCUAAAAAAAAAAAAAAUCAGAUAUCUCAUUCGUAUGUUCUUGCUACCAAUAAAAGAAAAUGAUUGAGAAUGUAUUUGAGCAAGAAAAUAAAAAAGGAAGGCGUAGUCUCCCUUAAUUGCUCAAAUUUUCUUUAUGAAGAAUAAAGUCUCCCAUUGUUAAGGUUCUCCCUUUAACUUUAUGAGAUGUUUCUAUUCUUUUUAUAUUGAAUUAUCAUAUGUAAUAAGCCAAGCCAUGAUCUAGACUAUUAAGGCA